GAUGAACGCUAGCGGCAGGCUUAACACAUGCAAGUCGAGGGGCAGCAUAAUGGAUAGCAAUAUCUAUGGUGGCGACCGGCGCACGGGUGCGUAACGCGUAUGCAACCUACCUUUAACAGGGGGAUAACACUGAGAAAUUGGUACUAAUACCCCAUAAUAUCAUAGAAGGCAUCUUUUAUGGUUGAAAAUUCCGAUGGUUAGAGAUGGGCAUGCGUUGUAUUAGCUAGUUGGUGGGGUAACGGCUCACCAAGGCGACGAUACAUAGGGGGACUGAGAGGUUAACCCCCCANACUGGUACUGAGACACGGACCAGACUCCUACGGGAGGCAGCAGUGAGGAAUAUUGGUCAAUGGACGCAAGUCUGAACCAGCCAUGCCGCGUGCAGGAUGACGGCUCUAUGAGUUGUAAACUGCUUUUGUACUAGGGUAAACUCACCUACGUGUAGGUGACUGAAAGUAUAGUACGAAUAAGGAUCGGCUAACUCCGU
RNAcentral lists this ribosomal RNA (487 nucleotides) under uncultured bacterium. RNAcentral describes it as "bacterial SSU rRNA". It matches the Rfam family "Bacterial small subunit ribosomal RNA", at positions 28 to 506 of the family's 1533-position model. The record is from RNAcentral.